AUUGAACGCUGGCGGCAUGCUUUACACAUGCAAGUCGAACGGCAGCGCGGGGCAACCUGGCGGCGAGUGGCGAACGGGUGAGUAAUACAUCGGAACGUACCCAGAAGUGGGGGAUAACGUAGCGAAAGUUACGCUAAUACCGCAUACGUUCUACGGAAGAAAGUGGGGGACCUUCGUGCCUCAUGCUUUUGGAGCGGCCGAUGUCUGAUUAGCUAGUUGGUGAGGUAAAGGCUCACCAAGGCGACGAUCAGUAGCUGGUCUGAGAGGACGACCAGCCACACUGGGACUGAGACACGGCCCAGAUUCCUACGGGAGGCAGCAGUGGGGAAUUUUGGACAAUGGGCGCAAGCCUGAUCCAGCAAUGCCGCGUGAGUGAAGAAGGCCUUCGGGUUGUAAAGCUCUUUUGUCAGGGAAGAAACGGCUGAGGAUAAUACCUUCGGCUAAUGACGGUACCUGAAGAAUAAGCACCGGCUAACUACGUG
This 482-nucleotide ribosomal RNA is filed under the name uncultured bacterium. Its description in RNAcentral is "partial 16S ribosomal RNA". It matches the Rfam family "Bacterial small subunit ribosomal RNA", at positions 30 to 507 of the family's 1533-position model. The record is from RNAcentral.